CUAAGGACCCCAAAGCGCUUUACACAUUCAGUCAUCCACCCAUUCACACACACAUUCACGCACUGGUGAUGGCAAGCUACAUAUACAAAUAUCAAAUAUAUGUGACAGGCAAAAACUAGCAAAUACUUUUAGCAGUUAAAACAACUAAUACUUGAAUGCGGAAUGUUACACCAUCACUUAAGGAUAUAUUAGUUUUUCGCCUCUCACUGCUUAAGCCAUUAAUCUUUCUGGAAUUGUUCUUUGAAACAGAUGCGACCUCACAAAAGAUGUUAAAUAUGCUGUCAGACCUGGCGAGAUCUCUUAACGAACUCCGUGAGGAGGUCAGAGCCAUCCGCAACACCGGCUGCAAUGAAUCGGUAGAUGCUGGGGUACUGCCGCUGGAUUUGCACAACAUUGAGGAGCUAAACAAUGCAGAGGCAGCUCUUCAAUCACAAGAGGCAAAUAAGGCAAUGAUGACCUGACGCAGCAGUUAGGGGCAAACUCUAUGUCAGUAUGUCAGAGUUUGUCUUUGCACAGGCAGUGCAGAAAUGGCUCCGAUACGCCCCAGACCGUUUGGGUGGCGCAGGACGCACAUCAUCCGUCCCCAUCCCGGAGUAAAAACUACAAAGUUAUGUUAAAAUAUAAAUGUAAAUAGAAAACUGUGUUUUAAUAAAGUAUUUAGCAAACGAAA
Oreochromis niloticus (Nile tilapia) is the source of this 670-nucleotide long non-coding RNA. RefSeq lists it as uncharacterized. Lineage: Eukaryota; Metazoa; Chordata; Actinopteri; Cichliformes; Cichlidae. The transcript is spliced from 2 exons. The record is from RefSeq and is a predicted model, not a curated record.